Molecule: unclassified non-coding RNA, 377 nt
Filed under: uncultured Actinomycetes bacterium
Lineage: Bacteria; Bacillati; Actinomycetota; Actinomycetes
Description: uncultured actinobacterium contains 16S-23S intergenic spacer region
Source: RNAcentral
UCCGAGUUGACCCCGGCAGUCUCCUAUGAGUCCCCACCAUCACGUGCUGGCAACAUAGAACGAGGGUUGCGCUCGUUGCGGGACUUAACCCAACAUCUCACGACACGAGCUGACGACAACCAUGCACCACCUGUGUACCGACCUUGCGGGGCACCCGUCUCCGGGCGUUUCCGGCACAUGUCAAAGGCUGGUAAGGUUCUGCGCGUUGCUUCGAAUUAAACCACAUGCUCCACCGCUUGUGCAGGCCCCCGUCAAUUCCUUUGAGUUUUAGCCUUGCGGCCGUACUCCCCAGGCGGGGCGCUUAAUGCGUUAGCUACGGCACGGAUCCCGUGGAAGGAAACCCACACCUAGCGCCCACCGUUUACGGCGUGGACUAC